This 464-nucleotide ribosomal RNA is filed under the name uncultured bacterium. RNAcentral's name for it is "bacterial SSU rRNA". It matches the Rfam family "Bacterial small subunit ribosomal RNA", at positions 917 to 1382 of the family's 1533-position model. The record is from RNAcentral.
GGGCCCGCACAAGCGGUGGAUUAUGUGGUUUAAUUCGAAGCAACGCGCAGAACCUUACCUAGGCUUGACAUCCCACGACAAACGUAGAAAUACGUCUUUGUAGCAAUACACGUGGAGACAGGUGCUGCAUGGCUGUCGUCAGCUCGUGUUGUGAAAUGUUGGGUUAAGUCCCGCAACGAGCGCAACCCCUGGAUUUAGUUGCCAGCAUUAAGUUGGGCACUCUAAAUUAACUGCCAGCGUUAAGCUGGAGGAAGGUGGGGAUGACGUCAAGUCCUCAUGGCCCUUACGCCUAGGGCUACACACGUAAUACAAUGGAUAGGACAAAGGGUCGCGAACCUGCAAGGGGGAGCUAAUCUCAAAAACCUAUCCUCAGUUCGGAUUGGGGGCUGCAAUUCGCCCCCAUGAAGGCGGAAUCGCUAGUAAUCGUGGAUCAGAACGCCACGGUGAAUACGUUCCCGGGCCUU